CUGGUUGAUCCUGCCAGACCCGACUGCUAUCGGAUUGGGACUAAGCCAUGCGAGUCAACUCCGCAAGGGGUGGCGCACGGCUCAGUAACACGUAGUCAACCUACCCUGGGGACGGGGAUAACCUCGGGAAACUGAGGCUAAACCCCGAUGGGCCAUGGCUCCUGGAAUGGGCUAUGGCUGAAAUCUACAUGGCCCCAGGAUGGGACUGCGGCCGAUCAGGUUGUUGGUGGGGUAAUGGCCCACCAAGCCUAUAACCGGUGCGGGCUCUGAGGGGAGGAGCCCGGAGAUAGGCACUGAGACAAGGGCCCAGGUCCUAUGGGGCGCAGCAGGCGCGAAACCUCCGCAAUGGGCGAAAGCCCGACGGGGUCAGUCCGAGUGGUUCCCGCUGAGGGAACCUUUUGCCAGCUGUAAACAGGCUGGCGAAUAAGGGGUGGGCAAGUUUGGUGUCAGCCGCCGCGGUAAUACCAGCACCCCGAGUGGUCGGGACGAUUAUUGGGCCUAAAGCAUCCGUAGCCGGCCCAGUAAGUCCUCCGUUAAAUCCAACGGCUCAACCGUUGGGCUGCGGGGGAUACUGCUGGGCUAGGGGACGGGAGAGGCGAGGGGUAUUCCCGGGGUAGGGGUAAAAUCCACUGAUCCCGGGAGGACCACCAGUGGCGAAGGCGCCUCGCUAGAACGUGCCCGACGGUGAGGGAUGAAAGCUGGGGGAGCGAACCGGAUUAGAUACCCGGGUAGUCCCAGCCGUAAACGAUGUAGGCUCGGUGUUGGGCUGCCUCAGUGGCAGCCCAGUGCCGCAGGGAAGCCGUUAAGCCUACCGCCUGGGGAGUACGGCCGCAAGGCUGAAACUUAAAGGAAUUGGCGGGGGAGCACCAC
RNAcentral lists this ribosomal RNA (870 nucleotides) under uncultured archaeon. Its description in RNAcentral is "bacterial SSU rRNA". It matches the Rfam family "Archaeal small subunit ribosomal RNA", at positions 4 to 882 of the family's 1478-position model. The record is from RNAcentral.